This 497-nucleotide ribosomal RNA is filed under the name uncultured bacterium. RNAcentral describes it as "partial 16S ribosomal RNA". It matches the Rfam family "Bacterial small subunit ribosomal RNA", at positions 28 to 507 of the family's 1533-position model. The record is from RNAcentral.
GAUGAACGCUGGCGGCGUGCCUAAUACAUGCAAGUCGAGCGAACGGACGAGAAGCUUGCUUUUCUGAUGUUAGCGGCGGACGGGUGAGUAACACGUGGAUAACCUACCUAUAAGACUGGGAUAACUUCGGGAAACCGGAGCUAAUACCGGAUAAUAUUUUGAACCGCAUGGUUCAAAAGUGAAAGACGGUCUUGCUGUCACUUAUAGAUGGAUCCGCGCUGCAUUAGCUAGUUGGUAAGGUAACGGCUUACCAAGGCAACGAUGCAUAGCCGACCCGAGAGGGUGAUAGGCUACACUGGAACUGAGACACGGUCCAGACUCCUACGGGAGGCAGCAGUAGGGAAUCUUCCGCAAUGGGCGAAAGCCUGACGGAGCAACGUCGAGUGAGUGAUGAAGGUCUUCGGCUCGUAAAACUCUGUUAUUAGGGAAGAACAUAUGUGUAAGUAACUGUGCACGUCAUGACGGUACCUAAUCAGAAAGCCACGGCUAACUACGUG